RNAcentral lists this transfer RNA (70 nucleotides) under Marmota monax (woodchuck). RNAcentral describes it as "tRNA.Ala". Lineage: Eukaryota; Metazoa; Chordata; Mammalia; Rodentia; Sciuridae. The record is from RNAcentral.
GUGGUUGUGGCUCAGUGGUAGAGUGCUUGCCAAGCAUGCAUGAGGCUUUGAGUUUGAUCCUGGCACCACA